RNAcentral lists this ribosomal RNA (292 nucleotides) under uncultured bacterium. Its description in RNAcentral is "partial 16S ribosomal RNA". It matches the Rfam family "Bacterial small subunit ribosomal RNA", at positions 505 to 796 of the family's 1533-position model. The record is from RNAcentral.
GUGUCAGCAGCCGCGGUAAUACAGAGGUCCCAAGCGUUGUUCGGAUUCACUGGGCGUAAAGGGUGCGCAGGUGGUCGGGUAAGUCUGAUGUGAAAUCUCCGAGCUCAACUCGGAAAUGGCAUUGGAUACUAUUCGGCUAGAGGGUUGGAGGGGGGACUGGAAUUCUCGGUGUAGCAGUGAAAUGCGUAGAUAUCGAGAGGAACACCAGUGGCGAAGGCGAGUCCCUGGACAACUCCUGACGCUGAGGCACGAAAGCUAGGGGAGCAAACAGGAUUAGAAACCCGCGUAGUCC